Molecule: non-coding RNA, 1510 nt
Organism: Nothobranchius furzeri (turquoise killifish)
Lineage: Eukaryota; Metazoa; Chordata; Actinopteri; Cyprinodontiformes; Nothobranchiidae
Source: RefSeq, a predicted model, not a curated record
CACCUCCCUCUCUCUGGUCUGCUCCUUUGCUAGUGCAGCUGUCUCUUUAUAAUGCCUGUAAGGAAAAGUGGCUGAGGCCUUUAGUGAUGGGAGGAACAGGUGUGCUGUUGGAGUGAUAAAUCUGCCCUCGCUCCAGGACAAUGCACCUCUGUUUAUGAAAACAAUUUCCCCAGAAUAGGUCUGCAUCGAGCAGGCGGACAAUGAAUACUCAGCUUGACAAGCAAAGAAAGAAAAAAAAAGUUGAGGGGAAUUAAAAGGUGCAAAAUAUCACUUUGCAAUCAGAAUCUGAAUAAAAGCUUGGCUAGCGCCCAUUUAUAAGGAACAUGCGUGCAUUCACAUCACUUAGUAAAACAAAUGUUAAUUACAGUCAGAUGAAAUGAAUCCAAGUCUACAUUUUGCAACUAAUAAUUACACUUAAUGGCCUAAGACGUCAUUGCAAACUGAACGUGUUGGCUCAAUAAACGGGAACAAAAGCAUGACAUAUUUGGUAUCAGAGGAAAAUAAAAAUUAUUAAUUUUUUUCUUAAAAAUCUGUCUCAGCCUUUAGGACACAAUUGGAGAGUCAUUACACAGCAAAGCCAUGUUUUUCCAGAUAGAUCUGCCCUAAUCCUGACUUGCUGGCUAAAACUCUGAACUGUGGGCCGCUCCCCAGUGCUCUUCAGAGCUCCAGUCACCAGCUAGCAUCUGGAAACCAUCAGUGUAAACAAAGGAACAGCGGAGGAGCUCAGGCCUCGCUCUGACUUUCCACAUCCCCCAGGACAUCACUCAGAGAGCAGCGCAAGAAUCCCAAACCAGCACCAAACUGAAUGAUGUCAAACGCUUUCAUGGCUAACUUUAAUAUGAGGGAUGUUGGCCAAUUUCAGAAGAAGCCAUUUAAAGCCACACCUUUAUAUGAUGUAAUUCAAGAUGCUGUGAAGAGGUGGAGCCCAAAUUGCACAGAAGCUGAAAUUGAUGCCGCUAUAGCGGAACACCUAAAGCAUGCCCCAGGAAGAGCUGGCGGUGGGGGUCACAAAAAAGAAGUUUUCAGGUUCAAAAGAUGUUAAAAAAGAUGAAUAAAAAUAAAUGUGUCCUGGAAUUGUGUGGCUUUUUAGGUUAUCCCGUUAUUGUUCAUCAUCUGUAAUGAACUACCAUAAUGAAAAUAACACACGUUUGCAGUGUCCUUGUUACAUCUACUUAAAGUAAUAACCAGUACAUGCAUCAAACCCUAAUCCCCCAUUCAGAUGCAGUUAAUUAUACUAAGUACUAAAAUGCAAAGUGCAGUGUUUGAUUUACACGUGAUUUUAAAGUAUUACAGAUGCUCAGGUAUUACUGGACCGAUUUUUUUACUUUUUAGAACCUUUGUCAAGUUUAGAUGUGCAAACAUAUAGGUUGCCAGUCACGAUUUAAUACAAUGGGUGUAUUAUUAGUUUAUAUGCAUGUUUAUAUGCCUAGGUUGAACUACAUGUAGUUAAAUUGUUCAACUAAUUGUCAAAAUAACAAUUAUACAUGUAACCACAGAUAACAGUAGACAU